RNAcentral lists this ribosomal RNA (468 nucleotides) under uncultured bacterium. Its description in RNAcentral is "partial 16S ribosomal RNA". It matches the Rfam family "Bacterial small subunit ribosomal RNA", at positions 28 to 507 of the family's 1533-position model. The record is from RNAcentral.
GACGAACGCUGGCGGCGUGCUUAACACAUGCAAGUCGAGCGGAAAGGCACUGCUUUUGUGGGGUGCUCGAGUGGCGAACGGGUGAGUAACACGUGAGUAACCUGCCCUAGACUUUGGGAUAACUUCAGGAAACUGGGGCUAAUACCGGAUAGGAGCUCCUACUGCAUGGUGGGGGUUGGAAAGUUUCGGCGGUUGGGGAUGGACUCGCGGCUUAUCAGCUUGUUGGUGGGGUAGUGGCUUACCAAGGCUUUGACGGGUAGCCGGCCUGAGAGGGUGACCGGCCACAUUGGGACUGAGAUACGGCCCAGACUCCUACGGGAGGCAGCAGUGGGGAAUAUUGCACAAUGGGCGGAAGCCUGAUGCAGCAACGCCGCGUGCGGGAUGACGGCCUUCGGGUUGUAAACCGCUUUCGCCUGUGACGAAGCGUGAGUGACGGUAAUGGGUAAAGAAGCACCGGCUAACUACGUG